This 158-nucleotide non-coding RNA is filed under the name unclassified sequences. Its description in RNAcentral is "DUF2800 RNA". It matches the Rfam family "DUF2800 RNA". Rfam says of the family: Actinobacteria, Firmicutes, Synergistetes (1 example). The record is from RNAcentral.
CCGCCGUUAACUGCACGGAAUGAUCACCCGUGGCUCAACGGUGACCGGCGGACAAGUUAAUAAGAACGGCUGCCUAUUGAGCGGGUUGCCGCAGACCGAGACGGAGAAUUUCUCCGCCGGACUGUGGUUUAGUUUCUGCAUGCUUUUACAGCCGUACC